This 76-nucleotide transfer RNA is filed under the name Candidatus Tantalella remota. Its description in RNAcentral is "tRNA-Arg". It matches the Rfam family "tRNA". From Rfam's summary of the family: Transfer RNA (tRNA) molecules are approximately 80 nucleotides in length. Lineage: Bacteria; Pseudomonadati; Candidatus Omnitrophota. The record is from RNAcentral.
GUCCCCGUAGCUCAGCUGGAUAGAGUACUGGCCUCCGAAGCCAGGAGCGACAGUUCGAAUCUGUCCGGGGACGCCA